GAUGAAGAACGCAGCGAAAUGCGAUAAGUAGUGUGAAUUGCAGAAUUCAGUGAAUCAUCGAAUCUUUGAACGCACAUUGCGCCCCCUGGCUUUCCGGGGGGCAUGCCUGUUCGAGCGUCUCAGGGACGAACCCUCGCGCGGGUGUACGCGCGGUCGUGGCUGCGGUGGCGUGCCCGAGGCGGCGGCCACCGCGCUGGAAUCCAUGGGCGGACGCCUGCCGCGUGGCCGAGCGUGAUAUGACGCAUUGGCGCUCGCACGCGGAGAGGCUGCCAGCCCUGGCCCGUCUGUCGGGCGGGGGAGAGCAAGACACGUGAACUCCUCGAAUCAGGUAGGGAUACCCGCUGAACUUAAGCAUAUCAAUAAGCGGAGGA
Molecule: unclassified non-coding RNA, 371 nt
Filed under: soil metagenome
Description: partial contains 5.8S ribosomal RNA, internal transcribed spacer 2, and large subunit ribosomal RNA
Rfam family: 5.8S ribosomal RNA (bases 1-120)
Source: RNAcentral